UCCCGACGGUUUUGCUUCGGUCCGGUUCGCUCGUCCUAUCCCUAAUACUGGUCCGAGUGCCAUUGCGAUUUUUCUCACCAUGUUUGGUGCUUUCUCGUGGGGAAGGUACCAGGUUGGACAGGGUAACAAGAUCCGAAGCAAGAGUAUUCAACGGCGGCGGUGCUCCCGUUUUUUCACAUGCAUCAAUGGGUAUGAUAUAAUUUAUCAAAAUUAUGGUUGGUAAGAGUUGAAGAAUUGAGAAGAAGAGUGAGAUGGAGCAAGUCCCAAGAGUCAAACUAGGUAACCAUGGCUUAGAGAUUGGUUCAUUUCUUAUGGGAUGGUUUGGUGUUGAAUUCAAAAAAGACAUAUCUCAUGUGUCAGAGCAUCUAGCCAUAGGAAUAAUGACUGGUUACUUGGGGAGCCUUACAACCUUCAGUGGUUGGAAUCAAAAAAUGCUUGAACCCAGUGCUUCCGGUCACUGAGUCAUCUGUGCAUUGGGCUUUAUAGUAGGUUUAUCUCUUGUUGUCGUCUCCAUCGCAUUUGGGGUUGAAAUUGCAAAGGGUUUUAGGUGGCUUCUCAACAGGCUGAAUAUUGCAAGUCUAGAAAAUGGCAUCUCUAACUACAAAGUAAACAGCUACCAUCGCCAAUGUAUCAGCUGCUUGUGUUAUGGCUGCACUUUCUACUAAAAAGAAUGCAAUGUUUUUGAGAGGUUUAAAGACAACACUGGAAAUUUUAAGGCAUGUCUUGUGAAAGAUGUACAAGGGAUGUUAAGUUUGUAUGAGGCAUCGUUUAUGUCUUAUGAAGGAGAAAACAUUUUGGAUGAAGCAAAUUCCUUCACGAGUUUCCACCUUAGAGGAGUUCAUGGCAAUAUAAGCAAUUUUCUUUUUGAACAAGUGAGUCAUUCAUUGGAACUUCCACUGCAUCGUAGAUUUCAAAGGCUUGAAGCUAGAUGGUUUAUUGUGUUAUAUGGAAAAAGAAAGGAUGCUAAUAAGGUGUUGCUUGAAGCGGCUAAGUUGGAUUUCAACAUCGUGCAAUCAAAUCUACAACAAGAUCUUAUAGAAAUGUCAAGUACAUUCCACAAAUGAUGGGAUCAAUUCAGUUGCCGCACUGACCGGUCUGGGUUGAUCACUGCAGCUCGUUGGUCAGUCCUUAAUAGUUUUGCACCUCUUACAGUAGCUAGUAACCAUUUUAAUUAGGUUUUUGUACAUCUGUGCAGGAUAAGUCUCCCGAAUUAGUUGCAAUGGGAAACCCUUUCUUUUAACGCCGGUGAUAUUUUCGCAAUGAUUGUUGCUUCUCUUGUUGCCAUUGUAGAGAGACUGAACAAGAGGUUGCUUUGGCGAUUUGUAGGGGAGUAGUUGACUUUAAGAGGGAGCCUUAGCCUCAGAUUUUUGACAGUGCCAAGGGUCUCGUGCCUCAACAUUUAGGUGUCCAUUCUGUUUCAACAAAGAAUAUUAUUUUUGAGUGAGCUUUGGAGACAUACUUCAAGAAUUGUUGGUUAUGGGGAAUUGCUUAGUGAGACUAUGAUAGAAAUUGCUAGGUCUAGAUUGUAAGAAUCUAAUAAAUAAGAACAUGAAAAGUUCGAUUGUAAAAUUUUAAGUAUAUAAUAUUUUUUUUUGUAAGUAGUUCUAAUUUACAUAAUAUGAAAUGAAACUUAAUGUUUGAAUUUAAUAAAAAUUUACAUAAAUGUUUAGAUUAAGUUA
This is a long non-coding RNA of Vicia villosa (hairy vetch), 1679 nucleotides long. RefSeq lists it as uncharacterized. NCBI's taxonomy places the organism in Eukaryota, Viridiplantae, Streptophyta, Magnoliopsida, Fabales, Fabaceae. The record is from RefSeq and is a predicted model, not a curated record. The transcript is spliced from 8 exons.